CUUCAGUCUUGUCCGUUGGCAGUCAUCUCCCUGACAGUCGCGAUACGUGAUGGGGAGUCAAGGAGUAUUGCUGGAGUAUUAAUGGAGUAACAUGCUGGAGAAUAAAUGCUGAAUGGCUCCAUUCAUACACAUGAAAACAGUUUCCCAGCAAGAUCGGUGGAGGACACAUACCAGCGAUGCAUCAGCAGAAGGGUUCGAGGAAGCUGACUGUCAUUCAGCUCUCCAUCAUCAUCUACAGACAAGGGGAGAAAAUUAUACUCAGUUUCCUGAAAUGUCUGUUUUCAAUGACUCUGGAGAACCUGAAGCGAUCAAUAACACCAGCGAAUGGAUAUGGAUGACAAUGAUCAAUGACACGUGGUCACUCACCAAAUGCUUGAAUACAAGCCUCCAGCAGCAGCUCAAGUGAAGCAGCCUUUCCCAACGUAACCGACCCCAUGACCUCCUGUCCAACCUGACUCUACUGAGACAUCAAGUUCACUGCCAUCAGG
Non-coding RNA from Paramisgurnus dabryanus, 488 nucleotides. The record is from RefSeq and is a predicted model, not a curated record. NCBI's taxonomy places the organism in Eukaryota, Metazoa, Chordata, Actinopteri, Cypriniformes, Cobitidae.